UACCUGCAGCUCAAGUGGUGGCCGCUAUUAUUGGGCCUAAAACGUCCGUAGCCGGUUUAGUAAAUGCCUGGGUAAAUCGUGCCGCUCAACGGUACAAAUUCUGGGUAGACUGCUAAGCUUGAGACCGGGAGAGGCUAGAGGUACUCCUGGGGUAGAGGUGAAAUUCUGUAAUCCUAGGGGGACCACCAGUGGCGAAGGCGUCUAGCUAGAACGGGUCUGACGGUGAGGGACGAAGCCCUGGGGCGCAAACCGGAUUAGAUACCCGGGUAGUCCAGGGUGUAAACGCUGCUUGCUUGAUGUUGGUUGGGCUCCGAGCCCAAUCAGUGUCGGAGAGAAGUUGUUAAGCAAGCUGCCUGGGAAGUACGAUCGCAAGAUUGAAACUUAAAGGAAUUGGCGGGGGAGCACAGCAACGGGUGGAGCGUGCGGUUU
This 429-nucleotide ribosomal RNA is filed under the name uncultured archaeon. Its description in RNAcentral is "bacterial SSU rRNA". It matches the Rfam family "Archaeal small subunit ribosomal RNA", at positions 474 to 903 of the family's 1478-position model. The record is from RNAcentral.